AAGUAUACCAUUGGAGCCAACUAUUCAGCAAUACCCCUUAAUGAUGACCAAUCCCCCCUCUCUCUUUCUUUCUCUCAUUGUAAAUGUGUCUUUCCCCAUUGUCUGAGUUAGAGUUUUACUGUUGUGAACAGAUACAAUGACCAAGGCAAACUCUUAUAAAGGACAAUAUUUAAUUAGGACUGGCUUACAGCUUCUGAGGUUCAGUCCAUUAUCAUCAAGGCAGGAAACACAACGCUUUCCAGGCGAGCAUGGCACUGGAAGAGGUGAGAGUUCUAUAUCUUGUUCUGAGGGCCAACAGGAGAAGACUGGCUCCCACGUAGCUAGGACAAGGGUCUCAAAGCCCACUCCCACAGUGACACACUUCCUCUAACAAAGCCACACCUCCAGCUGAACUACUAAAAAGUACUAUCAGUGUUUUAUCAGCACACUUGUCAUUCAAUUGUAAAUUCAGCUUGGGAGUUGCUUACUUUGCUUGCUUCUUUGAAGUGCACAGGGCAUUCCUUAAGGAUAUCUACAUGUUGGUCAUCUAUUUAACCAUAAGGCUAUGUUAAUAUUGUUAACAUCAUUUGCUCAAUAUCUUCUCAUAUUAGCCAGUCAUUACUCAUAUUUAUACUGAAUAUUAUUACCAUGAUGAUUCGACACAUUUCUCUGAAUUAGCAGCACUGUUUGGCUCCGAAAAGUAAAAUCUCCCUCACUUCCCAAGAUCAUCUCAUCUAUAGAUCAUUUCCUUGUUUCUUGGGAGAACUCACAGUUCCAUCUCUUGGGAUCCACUCACUGCUACUGUACAUAACCUUUAAGUCCUCAUUAUCUUUGUCUAAUGCAUGCCUGUUUCUUCUUUAAAUUUUAUGGCAUGUGGCCAAGAAGGUAUCCUGCUGGCCUGACUUUGUAAGAGCUUUGUUCAGUUAAUGAUUUGAAAUCUCAGCAACUGGAUGUUUUAGUUUGGGUUUCUAUUGUCAUGAAGAGACACCAUGACCAGUCAAUUCUUAUAAAGGAAAAUAUUUAACUGGGGGCUGGCAUACAGUUCAGGGGUUUAAGUUCAUUGUCAUCAUGGUGAGAAGCAUGCAGCAAGACAUGGUGCUGGAGAAGGAGCUGAGAGCAUCUGGAUUGGUGGGCAGCAGGAAGAGAGAGUAACACUGGGUCUGGCUUGAGCUUCUGAAACUUCAAAGCCCCACCCCCAGUAACACACUUCCUCCAACAAGACCACACCUACAUUCACGAAGCCAUACUUCCUAAUAAUGCCAUUCCCUGUGAACCUGUGGCGGGGGCAUUUUUAUUAAAACCACCAUGCUUGACAACUCUCCAGUUUGUCCCAGACCAUGCUUUUAAAAUUAGCACAUUGCUCCCACCGUCCAGCAAAAUGCACACCUAUGGCCAUGGAGGGUCAAAAGUCAUAUAGGUCAUUGGUUACCUCAGGCUCCAGUGGUGUGGAGUGCUAAGCAAAUUUAAUAUUUCCCAGCAGUUUAACGAGACUUUGAGAUGCCCAUCUUGAUCAUUGCUUCCUGUCUCGAAUGCCUACUUAUGAAACACUCUUAAGAUUAUUUAUAAAACAAAAUCCAUCUCCCAAUUUGGAAGCACUCUUAGAGCUGCUGGAUGCAACUUAGUCCUGUGAGGGAGCAAUAGAUAUUCUGUUAGAAAGAUCUUACCACCUUAGUCAGACGACCUGACUUCAACCUUCUAGAUGCCACCUUGGUCAUCCAGUGUCUAAAGGAAGGGCUGGCUGAUAGAUUUAAAAACUGGUGAAGAAUCUCCAGGAAGACUCUUCCCCAAUUGUGAAGCUGCAAACCUCCAGAACUGAGGGCGUUAGUGGUGUCAGCAAUAUGCCGAGACAGAUUUCUCUGAUUAGCUUAAAUUUCUUCAACCAAAUUAAGCAAAAAACAACAGCUUCAGAAAUUAAAUGGAACUUUAAAAAACCCAAUUUUAAAUCUGAACUAUGUUGCAAACAGCUUGCCCUCAAAACAAAAGGAUAGAUGGAAGAUUUAAUUUUUAAUUGGUGUGUUUCAUCACAGAUCAGUAUGUAAUCAAUGUAAAGAAUUUCCAUGUUAAUGAGAAAAUAUUAAGAUAAAUUAGAAUUACCCAUCGUCUGAUGGACAAGAUGUGUCUCAGCCAUGUUUUGGUCCAUUUUCUUUGCUUUAUUUUUUCUUUAAUAGAAAAAACAGAGUUCUUUAAAUAACUCUACUUUGUAUAAUCUGAUUGCCUUUCCUUGCUUUUGCCCCCUUUGUUUUUGGUCAGGUCUAGGUAUAGAACUCAGGGUCAGGUAGACAGUACUGGUCCACUCAGUAUUAAACCAACUGAAUGCCAUUGAUGUUUUGUUUUUUGAGAUUUUUUUCACUAAAGUGGUAUAGGAGUUUUUUAAAAAGCUACUUAUACAACAGAAACAAAUUGCAAACAACUCUAUAUACUAAAACAUGACUGUCUCAUAUUCUUAAAAGUCCUCUAAGGCAAGUGUCAGUAGACAGCAGCAAUUUCAUCCACAUUCCCUCAGUGCCAGACUGCAAAUCACAUGGCAAGAGAUAACCGUCAGUGGGAAAGCCUCCAGGCCUUAGUAUGAAAUGUGUUCCCGCUGAAAUCUAGCCUUGAUGGGAGAUGGAUGCUGUCUGAUAAGAAGACUUAAUGGAGAGUAGGGGAUACAGGGAAUGGUGAAUGCACUGUGCAAAUGCCAACAUUGAAGACGAGAUUGAUGCUUGUCGUGACCAGCGAGUCCACCUACACGAGUGCUGCUGGGUGCUGUCUGUCUUCCUCCAUACCACACACAGAUGAGUGUUUUCCUCAUUCAUCUUCUGGGCAUCUUCAAUGGGCAUGAGAAAAAGUCAAUAAAAUUCUCGUGAGCUGAAUUUAGAUCAUCGACUGUUGCCAGGUACAGUUCUUACAAGUGGGAAAACUCUCAACAUGGAAGACGCCCAAAACACAAGGGCGUUUUUUAAUGUUUAAUUUUAAUGGGAAAUGGAAGAGCAAAUAACUUUGAAGGUAAUUUCUGCCAAGGUGCCCAGGUAUUUAGUGCCAAGGAUUUCAUACCUCACAGACUUGUUUGCUGAGAAUAGUGGAUGAGGUAAGCCUGUGGAAGUAACAUCUUCAAGUGCUUUUCUUACAGUGUAGCUGAGGAGGCUAAAAGGCAAAGGAGGUGUCCCUACUUGGGGCAUCUGUGGAAUGGGAUCCACACCAGUCAGGACACACAAAGCCCAACAAACACAUUUAAAGGCCCAGUAACCCACUCAGCAUGACCUCUUUUGUAUAGGAAAGUCAAAAAUAAUGACUUCUAGCAUCAAGUCAGACCUCUGUGUGGAGAGCCACGUCGUUGCCUCAUUUCUCCUGCAUGUUUGAUGCUUUGCCCUGGGAUAAAUGGAAUUGUCUCCAUAAUUCUCACCCCAUUUCUGGACUCGGUGUCCUGUGAAAGAAUUGCAUGCGAAAAUGAUCGUGUUGCUUCUUGGCAACAUCACAGUUUUUUUUUUUCCUAUAACAAAAGUUCCUUCUCUGUUUUAUUUAUAUUUCAUUUCAAAUUGAUAGCCCUGGUCGCUUUAUAUUUAAAAAUAAACACCCUUUUAUUAAAUUAUCAUAACAUGUGGUGACCCUGAUGAGAUGGGCAAGAAAGGGAGACC
Molecule: long non-coding RNA, 3593 nt
Filed under: Mus musculus (house mouse)
Lineage: Eukaryota; Metazoa; Chordata; Mammalia; Rodentia; Muridae
Description: long non-coding RNA chr3:55264947-55268540
Source: RNAcentral